This is a long non-coding RNA of Gallus gallus (chicken), 1402 nucleotides long. The record is from Ensembl. NCBI's taxonomy places the organism in Eukaryota, Metazoa, Chordata, Aves, Galliformes, Phasianidae.
CGUGGCCAAUCUCCAGGACUUCAGGGAUCAAGUGUUAUGUUUUUAAUAUUGGUGGCUGACAGUGGAUAUGAACAACACUAUAGGGCUGCAAGCAUCUUGUCUUGUAUGCACAUAGCAUCUGGAACGGCAGAGAUGACUUUGUGAUCUGCAACCAGCAGAACUUAAUGCCCCAAAACCAAGGGAAGCAGGGUUAAGAAGAAUGGUGAAGAGGAAGAAACAUAAAACCUAAGUCCUCCAUCUGCUACUUCAUGGCCUGUUGCAUGAUGGAGGAAUAGCCCUAUUGUCACUGAGCUGCAAGUAGAAAAGACACCAGUGCUCCAUGCUGUCCUGAGAUCCUGUGCUGGGAGUGGAGGAAGGGGAGAAGGGAGGCAGUGGUGUACUGGAACCAGUGUGUUUUCUCCCCAUGUAAAUCCUUACGUGCUUUGCCUUGCGCAGCCCCACACAGCCACAACUCGGUGGAAUUUGCAGAGUUGUCCACAAACUUCCAAAAAAUAUCACAUCAACUAUCAGCCAACAGGAGAUGGUUUCUCUUGGAACUUGUGCUCUAUUGAAAUUUAGAUUCUGAAGCCCACUGAAGAAAACAAUCACUGCAAAGAAGUACCAAAUCUCUUGCAAACUCUCCCCUGAUCACUGCAUUCAAAGAUCUACCAGCAGCUGUUGAUGUAACGUUAUGGAUGUUUAGCAGGACUUCCUGUAUCUAAUGAACACAGCUCUUUCAGUGAGGAGACAAAGUGCAAUGCUGUCCCAGGAAAAUAAAAACGAUGUAACAUUCAGUCAGGAAUGCACUUACUACACGGCCUGGAAUCAGGAAUUGAUCUCAUGCCUCUGUAACAAAGAUCCCAUCUGUAGUCCCAUGUGGGGAGGGCACUGACACUGCUUCAGAAAGGACGUGGUUAUCCUGCUCCCAAAAGGAACCGAUUAGGGGAGAUGUUCCAGAAGCUAUUCGAUACAGACUGCACAACUCAGGAUGCCAUUCGUACAGAUGUACCCAGGGAUAUGGGAAGCAGAAUACGAAGUUGUGAGGUGGUGUUGGAAACAAGGACGAGGCAACACAGGCAGCUUGUAAGAAAGGCUUUCAGCAUCUUUUGUCAAAUAUCCAACUUGUGGAAACUGUGCAAGCAAGGGAGUUUUGCUUCAUCAAUACUAUAAAAUAAACUGAAGUUAAAAUGGGUGCUGCCCAAUCCAAUUGUCAAACACUGCUGCCGCAAUACAAAGACAAAUGUUUAUUGGCUUAACUUUGAAACUGCAGUAAAUGCUCUUCUAUUCAAUUAGAUAAACAAAUACAGUACUGAGUAUAUAAUGGGGUCCUUUCAAGUAAAUUAUGCUUCCUAACUCAUGUGUAAAAGAAAAAUGGCUUUUAAUGUUUAUAUUCCUGUAAAAUAAGAAACCAUCAAGGCUCUCC